AGCAGCCGCGGUAAUUCCAGCUCCAAUAGCGUAUAUUAAAGUUGUUGCAGUUAAAAAGCUCGUAGUUGAAUUUCGGGAUCAAUACGUCGGUCGUGCUUCGGUACGUACUGGCGUAAUUGAUUUCUCCCUUCUGACGAACCAUGAUGUCAUUAACUUGGUGUCAUGGGAAAUCAGGACUGUUACUUUGAAAAAAUUAGAGUGUUUAAAGCAGGCUAACGCUUGAAUACAUUAGCAUGGAAUAAUGAAAUAGGACGUUUGAUCCUAUUUUGUUGGUUUCUAGGAUCGACGUAAUGAUUAAUAGGGAUAGUUGGGGGCAUUAGUAUUCAAUUGUCAGAGGUGAAAUUCUUGGAUUUAUUGAAGACUAACUACUGCGAAAGCAUUUGCCAAGGAUGUUUUCAUUAAUCAAGAACGAAAGUUAGGGGAUCGAAGACGAUCAGAUACCGUCGUAGUCUUAACCAUAAACUAUGCCGACUAGGGAUCGGAUGAUGUUAAUUUUUUAAUGACUCGUUCGGCGCCUUACG
This 521-nucleotide ribosomal RNA is filed under the name uncultured Glomus. RNAcentral describes it as "SSU rRNA". It matches the Rfam family "Eukaryotic small subunit ribosomal RNA", at positions 569 to 1092 of the family's 1831-position model. The record is from RNAcentral. Lineage: Eukaryota; Fungi; Glomeromycota; Glomeromycetes; Glomerales; Glomeraceae.